This 184-nucleotide ribosomal RNA is filed under the name uncultured bacterium. Its description in RNAcentral is "partial 16S ribosomal RNA". It matches the Rfam family "Bacterial small subunit ribosomal RNA", at positions 1316 to 1500 of the family's 1533-position model. The record is from RNAcentral.
UUCCAUGAAGCUAGAAUUGCUAGUAAUGGCAGGUCAGCAUACUGCCGUGAAUACGUUCCCGGGCCUUGUACACACCGCCCGUCACACCAUGAGAGUUGGGAAUACCCGAAGCCUGUGAGCUAACUUAUAGAGGCAGCAGUCGAAGGUAGAAUCAAUGAUUGGGGUGAAGUCGUAACAAGGUACC